GGCGUGUGAGACUGGAUCGAUCCUCGGAACGGAGGACGAGGAGGAAGUGGGAAGGACGCAGGCGGACUGGAGGACGGAGAGGCAAAACAAGGCCAGAAGAAGGUGGAGAGUUAGGGACACACAAGCCAGGCCCAGGUCCACCUCUCUCCCCUGCUCCUCUCCUCUUCGUUCCCCCGGUGUGACAGAGCUACACUUUGAUCCACGCCACAGCAGGAAGGCCGAUUGUUUGUCUGUCAUCGUGUGGUCACUGCAGAGCAAACAGUCGAGAGGAGAACGGCAGGUCGCGGUGACUUGUGUCGGCGUGACCCACAGUUGGGUGGAAAGAAAGCACAAGAAAAAAACACCGCCAAACGCCCAUGUUACACAAUGCAGGUCAGCUAACAUGUACAGGAGGAGGUUGACGCUGCAUCAUGAUAUCAAUCUGUAUUAACUAGCCCUCUCAUUUUCUCAAAUCAUCACGUUUUGAGAUGAAAUACAUGGGUUUUAUAUUAAAUAUUGUACUAUCACGCCUCUUUUGUGGGUUCUAUAUUGGUUUAAAUGGCACAUUUUCAGCUAGAAAACAUAAAAGUUCAAAUUAAAAAGCAUAGGUAAAUGAAAUCCUGCUUUACUUUUACUCUUCGUUUCUUUCUAAAGGUUGUACUCAUCUUUUUUUCCCCCUCAAUGUUGUGACAGGAAACAGGUUGAACCAUGAUUAACGCGGUAAACUCCUCAAUGGCUGUUCCGCUUUUUAAAGAGGAAAACGCAACACUGAAGUUAGCAUCCAAUGUGACAACUGCAUCUCAAUGAAAAAAUGAGAUUUAUCCCAUUAUCGAGUUAGAAGAUACAAAUCAUACGCCAUAUUCAAUUUGUAAGGACAACUGAUCAUGACUGCCAACUGCUUGAGCACUGCAUAAAAACAAUUAAAGGGGCAGUGUAGUGGAAAAUCUAAUUCUUUUUUUUGUUUUACAUCAUGUUAUAAUGAUAUUUUAUCAUCAAAAAUAUACUUGGAGUGUUGCCUUGAUUCUUUCAGGCAAGUUUGAGAAACCCUUUAAUCUCGCAUGGCAACCAUUCAGCUGU
Long non-coding RNA from Xiphophorus hellerii (green swordtail), 1056 nucleotides. RefSeq lists it as uncharacterized. The transcript is spliced from 2 exons. The record is from RefSeq and is a predicted model, not a curated record. NCBI's taxonomy places the organism in Eukaryota, Metazoa, Chordata, Actinopteri, Cyprinodontiformes, Poeciliidae.